CAUGCAAGUCGAACGAAGUAGCAAUACUUAGUGGCAGACGGGUGAGUAACAUGUGGGUAUCUGCCCUUUGGCCUGGAAUAACACGAGGAAACUUGUGCUAAUACUGGAUAAGUCUUUACGGAGAAAGCUUUAUGCACCAUUGGAUGAGCCCGCACUCGAUUAGUUUGUUGGUGGGGUAAUGGCCUACCAAGACUGUGAUCAAUAGCUGAUUUGAGAGGAUGAUCAGCCACAUUGGGACUGAGACACGGCCCAAACUCCUACGGGAGGCAGCAGUGGGGAAUCUUGCACAAUGGAGGAAACUCUGAUGCAGCGAUGCCGCGUGAGUGAAGAAGGCCUUUGGGUUGUAAAGCUCUUUCGUCGGGGAAGAAAAUGACUGUACCCGAAUAAGAAGGUCCGGCUAACUUCGUGCCAGCAGCCGCGGUAAUACGAAGGGACCUAGCGUAGUUCGGAAUUACUGGGCUUAAAGAGUUCGUAGGUGGUUGAAAAAGUUGGUGGUGAAAUCCCAGAGCUUAACUCUGGAACUGCCAUCAAAACUUUUCAGCUAGAGUUUGAUAGAGGAAAGCAGAAUUUCUAGUGUAGAGGUGAAAUUCGUAGAUAUUAGAAAGAAUACCAAUUGCGAAGGCAGCUUUCUGGAUCAUUACUGACACUGAGGAACGAAAGCAUGGGUAGCGAAGAGGAUUAGAUGCCCUCGUAGUCCAUGCCGUAAACGAUGUGUGUUAGACGUUGGAAAUUUAUUUUCAGUGUCGCAGCGAAAGCGAUAAACACACCGCCUGGGGAGUACGACCGCAAGGUUAAAACUCAAAUGAAUUGA
This 811-nucleotide ribosomal RNA is filed under the name uncultured marine bacterium. RNAcentral describes it as "bacterial SSU rRNA". It matches the Rfam family "Bacterial small subunit ribosomal RNA", at positions 54 to 913 of the family's 1533-position model. The record is from RNAcentral.